RNAcentral lists this transfer RNA (72 nucleotides) under Camelus bactrianus (Bactrian camel). It matches the Rfam family "tRNA". From Rfam's summary of the family: Transfer RNA (tRNA) molecules are approximately 80 nucleotides in length. Lineage: Eukaryota; Metazoa; Chordata; Mammalia; Artiodactyla; Camelidae. RNAcentral also lists the same sequence under 2 other names. The record is from Rfam by way of RNAcentral.
GUGGGUCUAGCUCAAUGGUAGAGCACAGGCUUAACAUUCAUGAGGUCCUGGGUUCAAUCCCCAGGACCUCUG